This 92-nucleotide ribosomal RNA is filed under the name uncultured bacterium. Its description in RNAcentral is "partial 16S ribosomal RNA". The record is from RNAcentral.
GGCCGUAAACCCUGUCAUCGGGAGCAAUGCGUUUGGGUCGAACAUCCAAACGUUGAUAGUACCGGAAGAGGAAGGGACGGCUAACUCUGUGC